AUGGUGAUGGGAUACUCUCCCGCUGAGUCAGUGGCCAUCACCAAUAGACUUAAUUGCCGCCUGGGCUCGUUCCCCACUACCUACCUUGGGACACCCAUCAGUGACUCGCGCCUCUUGGCCGCCGAUCUUCGCCCCUCCGUGACCAAGCUCCAGACUAGAUGCGAGCCCUGGCAGGGGAGGUGGCUCUCCAAGGCGGCCCGGACUAUUCUUAUCAACUCCUCCCUCUCCAGCCUCCUCUUAUUUCUUAUGAGUUUCUAUAGCCUCCACGAAUCUCUCCAUAAGGAGAUCGCCAAAAUCCAGUCCCGCUUCUAUUGGGCUGGCGAGCACAGCAAGCAGAAGUAUCACAUGGUCAGCUGGCCUGACAUCUGCAAGCCUCGGGAGCAGGGUGGAUUGGGGAUCAUGUGCUCUAAGCGGAUGAAUAUUGCCCUCCUAUCCCAGUGGUUGUGGCGCAUCUCGCAGGGUCAGGGUGGCCUAUGGCUGGACAUUAUCCGGAAUAAAUACCUGCGCGGCCAACCCCUUGCCUUCUGCCAGAAGUCGGGAGGUUCUCAGUUCUGGCAGUCCCUCGUCCAGCUCCUCCCUGUGCUCCGCAUUGGUACCUCUAUCUCGGUAGGGUCCGGCCUCUCGACGCUCUUCUGGUUUGACGGAUGGGCCGGCGACUCCCCCUUUGCGGCUUGCUUCCCCAUCCUCUUCUCUAUCUCUGUCGACCCCAUGAUUUCUGUUGAUAGGGCCCUUAUUGACUUAGGGCGCCUCGCUUUCCGUCGGCCAUUUGGGCCUGCGGAAUCCGCCGCCUGGCGUGAGCUGCUUGAUUGCGUCGCUCUGCAUGAGCCGCUGGUGGAUGGAGCCCAAGACCGUGUGCGUUGGCACUUGGAGUCGUCGGGCCAGUUCUCUACCAAAUCGCUCUACAUGGCCAUUGCCCCCUCCUCCGCUCCCCCCCUCUUGAUGGUAUGGUCCGUCCGUCUCCCACUGAAGAUCCGCAUCUUCAUGUGGUAG
Molecule: ribosomal RNA, 990 nt
Filed under: Triticum aestivum (bread wheat)
Lineage: Eukaryota; Viridiplantae; Streptophyta; Magnoliopsida; Poales; Poaceae
Description: partial small subunit ribosomal RNA
Source: RNAcentral